This 583-nucleotide ribosomal RNA is filed under the name Candida tropicalis. RNAcentral describes it as "eukaryotic LSU rRNA". It matches the Rfam family "Eukaryotic large subunit ribosomal RNA", at positions 33 to 639 of the family's 3401-position model. Lineage: Eukaryota; Fungi; Ascomycota; Pichiomycetes; Serinales; Debaryomycetaceae. The record is from RNAcentral.
UUUCANUCAUAAGCGGAGGAAAAGAAACCAACAGGGAUUNCCUUAGUAGCGGCGAGUGAAGCGGCAAAAGCUCAAAUUUGAAAUCUGGCUCUUUCAGAGUCCGAGUUGUAAUUUGAAGAAGGUAUCUUUGGGUCUGGCUCUUGUCUAUGUUUCUUGAACAGAACGUCACAGAGGGUGAGAAUCCCGUGCGAUGAGAUGAUCCAGGCCUAUGUAAAGUUCCUUCGAAGAGUCGAGUUGUUUGGGAAUGCAGCUCUAAGUGGGUGGUAAAUUCCAUCUAAAGCUAAAUAUUGGCGAGAGACCGAUAGCGAACAAGUACAGUGAUGGAAAGAUGAAAAGAACUUUGAAAAGAGAGUGAAAAAGUACGUGAAAUUGUUGAAAGGGAAGGGCUUGAGAUCAGACUUGGUAUUUUGUAUGUUACUUCAACGGGGGUGGCCUCUACAGUUUAUCGGGCCAGCAUCAGUUUGGGCGGUAGGAGAAUUGCGUUGGAAUGUGGCACGGCUUCGGUUGUGUGUUAUAGCCUUCGUCGAUACUGCCAGCCUAGACUGAGGACUGCGGUUUAUACCUAGGAUGUUGGCAUAAUAUC